This 2904-nucleotide ribosomal RNA is filed under the name Klebsiella aerogenes UCI 28. RNAcentral describes it as "bacterial LSU rRNA". It matches the Rfam family "Bacterial large subunit ribosomal RNA". The record is from RNAcentral. Lineage: Bacteria; Pseudomonadati; Pseudomonadota; Gammaproteobacteria; Enterobacterales; Enterobacteriaceae.
UUAAGCGACUAAGCGUACACGGUGGAUGCCCUGGCAGUCAGAGGCGAUGAAGGACGUGCUAAUCUGCGAAAAGCGUCGGUAAGGUGAUAUGAACCGUUACAGCCGGCGAUGUCCGAAUGGGGAAACCCAGUGUGAUUCGUCACACUAUCGUUAACUGAAUACAUAGGUUAACGAGGCGAACCGGGGGAACUGAAACAUCUAAGUACCCCGAGGAAAAGAAAUCAACCGAGAUUCCCCCAGUAGCGGCGAGCGAACGGGGAGCAGCCCAGAGUCUGAAUCAGCUUGUGUGUUAGUGGAACGGUCUGGAAAGUCCGACGGUACAGGGUGAUAGUCCCGUACACCAAAAUGCACAGGCUGUGAACUCGAAGAGUAGGGCGGGACACGUGGUAUCCUGUCUGAAUAUGGGGGGACCAUCCUCCAAGGCUAAAUACUCCUGACUGACCGAUAGUGAACCAGUACCGUGAGGGAAAGGCGAAAAGAACCCCGGCGAGGGGAGUGAAAAAGAACCUGAAACCGUGUACGUACAAGCAGUGGGAGCACCUUUAUGGUGUGACUGCGUACCUUUUGUAUAAUGGGUCAGCGACUUAUAUUCUGUAGCAAGGUUAACCGUAUAGGGGAGCCGCAGGGAAACCGAGUCUUAACUGGGCGUUAAGUUGCAGGGUAUAGACCCGAAACCCGGUGAUCUAGCCAUGGGCAGGUUGAAGGUUGGGUAACACUAACUGGAGGACCGAACCGACUAAUGUUGAAAAAUUAGCGGAUGACUUGUGGCUGGGGGUGAAAGGCCAAUCAAACCGGGAGAUAGCUGGUUCUCCCCGAAAGCUAUUUAGGUAGCGCCUCGUGAAUUCAUCUUCGGGGGUAGAGCACUGUUUCGGCUAGGGGGUCAUCCCGACUUACCAACCCGAUGCAAACUACGAAUACCGAAGAAUGUUAUCACGGGAGACACACGGCGGGUGCUAACGUCCGUCGUGAAGAGGGAAACAACCCAGACCGCCAGCUAAGGUCCCAAAGUCACAGUUAAGUGGGAAACGAUGUGGGAAGGCACAGACAGCCAGGAUGUUGGCUUAGAAGCAGCCAUCAUUUAAAGAAAGCGUAAUAGCUCACUGGUCGAGUCGGCCUGCGCGGAAGAUGUAACGGGGCUAAACUGUGCACCGAAGCUGCGGCAGCGACACUUAGGUGUUGUUGGGUAGGGGAGCGUUCUGUAAGCCUGCGAAGGUGGCCUGUGAGGGUUGCUGGAGGUAUCAGAAGUGCGAAUGCUGACAUAAGUAACGAUAAUGCGGGUGAAAAGCCCGCACGCCGGAAGACCAAGGGUUCCUGUCCAACGUUAAUCGGGGCAGGGUGAGUCGACCCCUAAGGCGAGGCCGAAAGGCGUAGUCGAUGGGAAACAGGUUAAUAUUCCUGUACUUGGUGUUACUGCGAAGGGGGGACGGAGAAGGCUAUGUUAGCCGGGCGACGGUUGUCCCGGUUUAAGCAUGUAGGCGGAGGUUCCAGGUAAAUCCGGUACCUUUUAACGCUGAGGUGUGAUGACGAGGCACUACGGUGCUGAAGUAACAAAUGCCCUGCUUCCAGGAAAAGCCUCUAAGCAUCAGGUAACAUUGAAUCGUACCCCAAACCGACACAGGUGGUCAGGUAGAGAAUACCAAGGCGCUUGAGAGAACUCGGGUGAAGGAACUAGGCAAAAUGGUGCCGUAACUUCGGGAGAAGGCACGCUGAUAUGUAGGUGAAGCCCCUGCGGGUGGAGCUGAAAUCAGUCGAAGAUACCAGCUGGCUGCAACUGUUUAUUAAAAACACAGCACUGUGCAAACACGAAAGUGGACGUAUACGGUGUGACGCCUGCCCGGUGCCGGAAGGUUAAUUGAUGGGGUUAUCCGUAAGGAGAAGCUCUUGAUCGAAGCCCCGGUAAACGGCGGCCGUAACUAUAACGGUCCUAAGGUAGCGAAAUUCCUUGUCGGGUAAGUUCCGACCUGCACGAAUGGCGUAAUGAUGGCCAGGCUGUCUCCACCCGAGACUCAGUGAAAUUGAACUCGCUGUGAAGAUGCAGUGUACCCGCGGCAAGACGGAAAGACCCCGUGAACCUUUACUAUAGCUUGACACUGAACAUUGAGCCUUGAUGUGUAGGAUAGGUGGGAGGCUUUGAAGCGUGGACGCCAGUCUGCGUGGAGCCAACCUUGAAAUACCACCCUUUAAUGUUUGAUGUUCUAACGUUGGCCCCUAAUCGGGGUUGCGGACAGUGUCUGGUGGGUAGUUUGACUGGGGCGGUCUCCUCCCAAAGAGUAACGGAGGAGCACGAAGGUUAGCUAAUCCUGGUCGGACAUCAGGAGGUUAGUGCAAUGGCAUAAGCUAGCUUGACUGCGAGCGUGACGGCGCGAGCAGGUGCGAAAGCAGGUCAUAGUGAUCCGGUGGUUCUGAAUGGAAGGGCCAUCGCUCAACGGAUAAAAGGUACUCCGGGGAUAACAGGCUGAUACCGCCCAAGAGUUCAUAUCGACGGCGGUGUUUGGCACCUCGAUGUCGGCUCAUCACAUCCUGGGGCUGAAGUAGGUCCCAAGGGUAUGGCUGUUCGCCAUUUAAAGUGGUACGCGAGCUGGGUUUAGAACGUCGUGAGACAGUUCGGUCCCUAUCUGCCGUGGGCGCUGGAGAAUUGAGGGGGGCUGCUCCUAGUACGAGAGGACCGGAGUGGACGCAUCACUGGUGUUCGGGUUGUCAUGCCAAUGGCAUUGCCCGGUAGCUAAAUGCGGAAGAGAUAAGUGCUGAAAGCAUCUAAGCACGAAACUUGCCCCGAGAUGAGUUCUCCCUGAGACUUUAAGUCUCCUGAAGGAACGUUAAAGACGAUGACGUUGAUAGGUCGGGUGUGUAAGCGUAGCGAUACGUUGAGCUAACCGAUACUAAUGAACCGUGAGGCUUAACCUU